This 523-nucleotide ribosomal RNA is filed under the name uncultured bacterium. RNAcentral's name for it is "partial 16S ribosomal RNA". It matches the Rfam family "Bacterial small subunit ribosomal RNA", at positions 28 to 523 of the family's 1533-position model. The record is from RNAcentral.
GACGAACGCUGGCGGCGUGCCUAAUACAUGCAAGUCGAACGCUUUUUCUUUCACCGGAGCUUGCUCCACCGAAAGAAAAAGAGUGGCGAACGGGUGAAUAACACGUGGGUAACCUGCCCAUCAGAAGGGGAUAACACUUGGAAACAGGUGCUAAUACCGUAUAACACUAUUUUCCGCAUGGAAGAAAGUUGAAAGGCGCUUUUGCGUCACUGAUGGAUUGACCUGGGGUGCAUUAGCUAGUUGGUGAGGUAACGGCUCACCAAGGCAACGAUGCAUAGCCGACCUGAGAGGGUGAUCGGCCACACUGGGACUGAGACACGGCCCAGACUCCUACGGGAGGCAGCAGUAGGGAAUCUUCGGCAAUGGACGAAAGUCUGACCGAGCAACGCCGCGUGAGUGAAGAAGGUUUUCGGAUCGUAAAACUCUGUUGUUAGAGAAGAACAAGGAUGAGAGUAGAACGUUCAUCCCUUGACGGUAUCUAACCAGAAAGCCACGGCUAACUACGUGCCAGCCGCCGCCGUAA